Long non-coding RNA from Armigeres subalbatus, 481 nucleotides. RefSeq lists it as uncharacterized. The record is from RefSeq and is a predicted model, not a curated record. Lineage: Eukaryota; Metazoa; Arthropoda; Insecta; Diptera; Culicidae. The transcript is spliced from 4 exons.
AAAUAGGAGAGAGAAAAAUAUAUUGGUAGUAGAAGAAACGGUAGGAGGUAUAGAGAAGACAAAAUAAAAACAAAAGUUCGCCAUCGUUUUCGAAUGCAAAAUUAGUUCGUGAUUAUUGAAAGCAAUUAAAAUAUACUGUUUCUUGUGACAUAAAAGCUUGAAAUAAGUAAUUAAAAUCAGCAGGGAAAAGUUCGGUCAGUUGCGAUACCACUUCCAACACGGUGAAGCUACAAUUUAUUAUUCGGAUUAAUAAAUUCGGAUUCUGGCGACAAAUUAGGUUGAUCCGCUGAACCAGUAUUGUAGAUUCAGUUUGACGACGAACCCGCUGGCCAAAAGGUAGGGUAGUUGAACCGUACUUCAACACCCAAAACCAAAAGGAAUCGAGGAGCAUAGGUAUUCAGGAAGGAAACCAGUUUAUUUUUCAGCAUUGCUGAAAACUAAUCAGCUGCUUCGGGAAAACUUGGUUUCCCUAUCGGGAACA